AAUGGUGCUCGUUAUAGGAUCAAGUGAAUAAGUGCAUGUGAUGGAUGCCUUGGCGAUUACAGGCGAUGAAGGACGUUGUAGCCUGCGAUAAGCUUCGGGGAGCUGGCAAACAAGCUUUGAUCCGAAGAUUUCCGAAUGGGGAAACCCGCCGCUUUUGCGGCACCCACAUCUGAAUACAUAGGGUGUGUGGAGCGAACCUCGUGAACUGAAACAUCUAAGUAGCGAGAGGAAAAGACAUCAACCGAGAUUCCCAAAGUAGUGGCGAGCGAAAUGGGAACAGCCUUCUAGUGAUAGCACAACAUUUAGCAGAACGGAAUG
This 318-nucleotide ribosomal RNA is filed under the name uncultured Polynucleobacter sp. RNAcentral describes it as "bacterial LSU rRNA". It matches the Rfam family "Bacterial large subunit ribosomal RNA", at positions 1 to 307 of the family's 2925-position model. The record is from RNAcentral. Lineage: Bacteria; Pseudomonadati; Pseudomonadota; Betaproteobacteria; Burkholderiales; Burkholderiaceae.